RNAcentral lists this unclassified non-coding RNA (610 nucleotides) under Acromyrmex echinatior (Panamanian leafcutter ant). RNAcentral describes it as "cellular tumor antigen p53, transcript variant X2". Lineage: Eukaryota; Metazoa; Arthropoda; Insecta; Hymenoptera; Formicidae. The record is from RNAcentral.
AUAUGUUCUGUGGCAGUGUUGUGUUCGAUGAAAUGUACUUGCAUGUGUCCACUUCGAUUUAUGCAUUUUUCUCCAAUUAAUCUUCAACUGCGAAUCGCAAACAUGCUAGGCUCGAAUGUUGUUUCAGAUUCUCAGGAAUCUGCAUUGAUGGAUGAUGAAACGUAUAAGGAUAUAGAGAAGACUUUCGGAGGUACAUUGCCGCUACCAGAAGAUAUGAACGCAUUUGAUGCAGAAGACAAAUAUGAUAUACUACUUACCGAGUCCAUGUAUAUCCCUCCGGAAAAGAGAUUAAAAAGUCAAACAGAAGAAGAUGACGAUAUUUAUUAUUCACGUGGGUACGCCAAUUAUUUAGGCCCUCAAUUAAAUUUCCAGUAUACCUUGGCAGAGAAUGGUGGACAGGAUUGGUCGGUGUAAGAUUUUUAUGUAGUAGAUAAAUUGGUGCUAAAUGUAUCUUACGUAUCAGUGUGAUGAUUUUCUGUUAACAUUGAUAUAAACUAAACUAUUUUAUGAACCAAACUUUUAUAAUGUUGCAUAUAUACUCUCAAAAAUCGAAAAGAGUAUUUCUAAAAAUGGAAAAGACACUGCCUUUACGAUUUACAUGGGAACCAGC